RNAcentral lists this long non-coding RNA (775 nucleotides) under Mytilus galloprovincialis (Mediterranean mussel). Lineage: Eukaryota; Metazoa; Mollusca; Bivalvia; Mytilida; Mytilidae. The record is from RNAcentral.
AGUAGUUUUUACAUAUUUAUACUAUGAUCCUCUACUUUCCAGAUCAACACAAAUGGUAAAGCUCAGUCACUUGUUAAAAAUGAAACAUGUUCAAUAUCACUACAGAGACAAUUUUUGUUUACACACAACUUUUGUGUUCCUCAUUUGAUGGCGCAUUAGUUCCUCAUUUGGAGGUGCAUUAGGAAUAUUGACCCAGCUGGUCUUGUGUUGGUUUCAGAUCUCUGAAAAAAAAAUCAUAAAUUAUAAAAUACAAAAAAAUAAAUUGAUCCCAACUUAUGAAUUACAGCAGUUCUUAAAAAUUAUCCUGUGUUUACACAUAAUCAAUAUUUUUUCUAUUGCUGGUCCUAUAAUAAACUGCAGAUUCAUAAUUAUGUUAUGUUGUUACUGAGAUGUUUGUAUCUUUGCCAAUUAUACACAUUUUGAUGAUGUAUGUUAGAAAUUUAACACAAUUUCAACAGUAUAUAAUUAUUCAUAACUUAUGAUUAACCUUCGUUCUUAUUUAAAAAAUAAAUUUGUUGUUAAAUUGAACAUGUGUUAAUGAAAUUAUGUCUGUUCCAGAAAAUACUAUGUCCGCCCCUAAGGGACAGCCCUAAGCCCUUUUAAAAAAAAAAUCCCAGCACCGACAGAAUUAAAAAUUAAUAAGAACAACACUCCCUUUUAACUUGCAUUUUGGUAUUUCAUACACAACCACCCCCAAAUAAAAUUUAAGAAAAGAGCUUUCCCUGGGGUAGAGGGGACAUAAUAUUUUCUGGAGCAACCAGUGGUUAUUCUACAA